UUUAUCCUCACAGAUAACCAUGGUUAAUAAAUGGUCAGACACGUCACUGGCUUUAAAAUAUAAACCCCAUUGAUGCAAAACGAUGCUGCAUGGAAUGACAAUGUGGUUUGGAACAGACUUGGUGAAGAACACGGAAACAUCUCUUAAUAAAAUGGCCCCAAACAUCAUCAGGAGUGCAAAAGAAGGAAGUAAAAAACAUCUCUACGCCAAUCUCAUUGGAGAGGAAACCACAGAAGGUCUGGUGAGGAAUGCUGCUGUUAUUGCAAGCAUUAUUUCAAGAAAAUCCCAGCUUCCUUGACUGUGUAAAUAGUGAACCCAAAGGUCCCACACCAACCAUAGUGUUCAACGGCUCUCCUGAUCUUCUCAAAUCUGAAAGUAUCAACUUUAUAAUGGACAAUGUGAACUUAAUAUGUGGAAGACAUUGACAUCACAGGCUGUGGAAUGACUGUGUCACAGGUCGGAGAAGCGGACCGCCCCUGUCGCGGAGCAUGCUCCUCCUAGUUCCACCUCGAGGAGGUCCCAAAGCACCCCAAUGACCAGACAAACCAGAGAUAAGUAAAAUAUAGAAAUAGAAACUUUAUUUAAAUUAUUUAAAACUAAAGUGGGGAAUGAGAAAGGGAAUCUAAAAAUCUCGCUUCUUGCCCUCGCUUCUUUUUUUUCUCCUCAAUGUUCAAUACCCUUUUGCCAUUAAGCACACAGUGACUUUAAUUUAUAAAAUAUAUGCUUAAGUUUUAAUACCUGUACAAAACAAAUGUACAAUCAACUUGUGUAAAUUGUCAUUCUAUUAAUAGAUUGUUCAUGAAUUGUCUUUAAAUGCAUUGUGAUUUCGGUAACACUUUACAAUAAGGUUCAUUAGUUAACAUUAGUUAAUGUAUGUGAACAAACCAUAAGCAAUACAUUUGUUACAGUAUUUAUUCAUCUUUGUUAAUGUUAGUUAAUAAAAAUUUAAGCUUUAAUUGCUUGUUCAUGUUAGUUCAGAGUGCAUUACCUAAUGUUAACAAGAUUUUAAUAAAGUAAUUGUUGAAAUUAACAUUAACAAAGAUUAAUAAAGGCUGUAUAAGUGCAGUUCAUUAUUAGUUCAUGUUAACUAAUGUAGCUAACUAAUGUUAACUAAUGAACCUUAUUGUAAAGUGUUACCGUGAUUUCUUUUCAUCAUUUCAGACACAUGUAAAAGUUACUAAAAAUUAGUACUGCAUAUACUGUACAGUAUCUAUGCGUAAGGGAAAUAACUUGAACAAAAUUUUUAAUGUAUAGUGUAAUUAAGAGUUUAGCUGUUUAAUACAGAGAUGCAAUUUAUUUAUAUAUAUUAUUUAUAUAUAAACGUAUGUAUGUUUAUUAAAAAGUGAAAAUGCUUAAUGGAAAUAAUUAAAUAACUAAAUGGUUGAAUGUAAUGAGACAUUUUAAAUGUAAACUAAAGUUUUGCUGUCUAAUACAGAAUAAAGAGAUGUGAUUUUAAGUAA
Misgurnus anguillicaudatus (oriental weatherfish) is the source of this 1460-nucleotide non-coding RNA. The record is from RefSeq and is a predicted model, not a curated record. NCBI's taxonomy places the organism in Eukaryota, Metazoa, Chordata, Actinopteri, Cypriniformes, Cobitidae.